AGAUGUAAGGGCGAUCUGGCUAGGACAUCUUCUACUCCAUUGAUCGCCAGGGUUGAUUAGGAUGAUCUGGCUGGCUAGGUGGGUGUCCCCUUCCUCCCUCACCGCUCCACGUGGGUCCCUCCAGAAGCUGCACGAGGUCGGUAGAAGAGGAGGACCCUCCCCGAUAGAGGAGGGCCAUUGGUCAAAGGUAUACGAGUAGCUGCUCUCCCCUGCUAUAACCUCCAAACAAGCUCUCAAAACAAUAGCAAGCAGGGCUGAUGGCAACUAGAGAAAGUAUGCCCUU
Molecule: unclassified non-coding RNA, 283 nt
Organism: Panthera pardus (leopard)
Lineage: Eukaryota; Metazoa; Chordata; Mammalia; Carnivora; Felidae
Gene: 7SK
Rfam family: 7SK RNA
About the family: 7SK was discovered as an abundant small nuclear RNA in the mid-70s but a possible function has only recently been suggested. Two independent studies have found that 7SK RNA binds the CDK9/cyclin T complex (known as elongation factor P-TEFb). P-TEFb activates transcription by phosphorylating the C-terminal domain of RNA polymerase II.
Source: Ensembl